UUUGAAUAUGGCACAGAGUGGAUGCCUUGGCACCAGUGUAACUGGACGUUUUUAUUACGAAAAGCCUAGCUAUCACAUGUUUGCUAGGAUUUCCAGAGUGGAAACAAACAAUAUCAAAAAACUGUGACCGGAAACCUCCUUUAGCAGUAAUAGAAAUCAACCGAGAUUCCAAAAGUAGUGGUGAGCGAAAUUGGAAAAAUUGUUCUAUGCUUAUGAAAAUGCCAAGGUGCAUCUUUAUCAACUUUUUGCAAUCAACUAGAAAAUUAUAGUCAAAACCUCGUGCGCAAAGCGCACAAGUUUUUAAAAAACUAAAAUUUAUACUAAAUUUAAAUUUCAUCCUCGUGUAUAUUCAUACACGAGCGAUAAAUCCAUUUGUUACACUAUUGUUGCAAAUGCAUACGAAUACAAUAUUUUUUGACUAUAUUUGGAAAACUAGACCAAAGAGGGUGAUAGUCCCGUAUUAAUUGCAAAAAAAAAUUUUGGUUUAGUGAAUAACUCACUAUUCACUCAAUUUUAGAGUUCUUGUCAGCAUAACUGGCAAGGUAUUUAGGGGAACCACCCUCGUUAUUGAAAAGCACUGGUGACCGAUAGUGAAUAGUAUCGUGAGAGAAAGGAUAAAAUGCUACGGUGUAGCUAUGAAAAAACUGAAACUCUGUGCUAACAAACAGUUAAAAGCCUAUUUGGAGGUUUUGACGUGCCUUUUGCAUCAUGAAUCUACAAGUUAUAGAGAGCAGCUUUGCUUAAUCCGGUAGGAGUAGGCA
RNAcentral lists this ribosomal RNA (761 nucleotides) under Chromochloris zofingiensis. RNAcentral's name for it is "large subunit ribosomal RNA". It matches the Rfam family "Bacterial large subunit ribosomal RNA", at positions 1 to 668 of the family's 2925-position model. The record is from RNAcentral. Lineage: Eukaryota; Viridiplantae; Chlorophyta; Chlorophyceae; Sphaeropleales; Chromochloridaceae.